This 109-nucleotide small nucleolar RNA is filed under the name Tupaia belangeri chinensis (Chinese tree shrew). RNAcentral's name for it is "Tupaia chinensis (Chinese tree shrew) Small nucleolar RNA U3". It matches the Rfam family "Small nucleolar RNA U3". Rfam says of the family: Small nucleolar RNAs (snoRNAs) are involved in the processing and modification of rRNA in the nucleolus. There are two main classes of snoRNAs: the box C/D class, and the box H/ACA class. The record is from Rfam by way of RNAcentral. Lineage: Eukaryota; Metazoa; Chordata; Mammalia; Scandentia; Tupaiidae.
AAGACUAUACUUUCAGAGAUCAUUUCUAUAGUCUGUUACUAGAGAAGAUUCUCUGAUCAUGUAGAGCAAGUUCUGAAGGGAGUGCUAUACCCGGAAAACUAAAGUCAGA